This is a long non-coding RNA of Lutra lutra (Eurasian river otter), 325 nucleotides long. RefSeq lists it as uncharacterized. The transcript has 3 exons. NCBI's taxonomy places the organism in Eukaryota, Metazoa, Chordata, Mammalia, Carnivora, Mustelidae. The record is from RefSeq and is a predicted model, not a curated record.
AUGCAGGGGCUUCCCUGGGGAUUUUCUCAGGGACAAUCCCGGGAAAGGGUGGAGACCACCUCUUCUGGAAGGAGAUGACCUCUGAGUCUGUGGUCCUAUCUGCUAGGCUCAGGAAACUGGAAGCUGAAAGAAUACCCGUAUAUUACACCUCAUGAUUCCAGAUGGAGGGGACGGCUUGACGGAAUGGACCUAAGGUCUCAUUGCAAGAGGCAGCCUGAUUUCUACCAAGAACCCUUCUAUCUCUCAGCUGAUGACCCUCUGCCUUCUGGAAGAUGUAUAUGUAAUUUGACACCAGGAUUCUUCUUUUUUUUUUUUUUUUUAAUUU